UGGCUCAGGAUGAACGCCAGCUACAGGCUUAACACAUGCAAGUCGAGGGGAAACGACAUCGAAAGCUUGCUUUUGAUGGGUGUCGACCGGCGCACGGGUGAGUAACGCGUAUCCAACCUGCCCAUCACUUGGGAAUAACCUUGCGAAAGAAAGACUAAUACCCAAUGAUAUCCCACGAAGGCAUCCGAAUGGGAUUAAAGAUUUAUCGGUGAUGGAUGGGGAUGCGUCUGAUUAGCUUGUUGGCGGGGUAACGGCCCACCAAGGCAACGAUCAGUAGGGGUUCUGAGAGGAAGGUCCCCCACAUUGGAACUGAGACACGGUCCAAACUCCUACGGGAGGCAGCAGUGAGGAAUAUUGGUCAAUGGGCGAGAGCCUGAACCAGCCAAGUAGCGUGCAGGACGACGGCCCUAUGGGUUGUAAACUGCUUUUAUAAGGGAAUAAAGUGAGUCUCGUGAGACUUUUUGCAUGUACCUUAUGGAUAAGGACCGGCUAAUUCCGUGCCAGCAGCCGCGGUAAUACGGAAGGUCCGGGCGUUAUCCGGAUUUAUUGGGUUUAAAGGGAGCGUAGGCCGGAGAUUAAGCGUGUUGUGAAAUGUAGAGGCUCAACCUCUGCACUGCAGCGCGAACUGGUCUUCUUGAGUACGCACAACGUGGGCGGAAUUCGUGGUGUAGCGGUGAAAUGCUUAGAUAUCACGAAGAACUCCGAUUGCGAAGGCAGCUCACGGGAGCGCAACUGACGCUGAAGCUCGAAAGUGCGGGUAUCGAACAGGAUUAGAUACCCUGGUAGUCCGCACGGUAAACGAUGGAUGCCCGCUGUUGGCCUGAAUAGGUCAGCGGCCAAGCGAAAGCAUUAAGCACCCCACCUGGGGAGUACGCCGGCAACGGUGCAACUCAAAGGAAUUGACGG
RNAcentral lists this ribosomal RNA (906 nucleotides) under uncultured Bacteroidota bacterium. Its description in RNAcentral is "bacterial SSU rRNA". It matches the Rfam family "Bacterial small subunit ribosomal RNA", at positions 20 to 916 of the family's 1533-position model. Lineage: Bacteria; Pseudomonadati; Bacteroidota. The record is from RNAcentral.